This 468-nucleotide ribosomal RNA is filed under the name uncultured bacterium. Its description in RNAcentral is "partial 16S ribosomal RNA". It matches the Rfam family "Bacterial small subunit ribosomal RNA", at positions 28 to 507 of the family's 1533-position model. The record is from RNAcentral.
GACGAACGCUGGCGGCGUGCUUAACACAUGCAAGUCGAACGGAAAGGCCCUGCUUUUGUGGGGUGCUCGAGUGGCGAACGGGUGAGUAACACGUGAGUAACCUGCCCUUGACUUUGGGAUAACUUCACGAAACUGGGGCUAAUACCGGAUAGGAGCUCCUGCUGCAUGGUGGGGGUUGGAAAUUUUCGGCGGUUGGGGAUGGACUCGCGGCUUAUCAGCUUGUUGGUGGGGUAGUGGCUUACCAAGGCUUUGACGGGUAGCCGGCCUGAGAGGGUGACCGGCCACAUUGGGACUGAGAUACGGCCCAGACUCCUACGGGAGGCAGCAGUGGGGAAUAUGGCACAAUGGGCGGAAGCCUGAUGCAGCAACGCCGCGUGCGGGAUGACGGCCUUCGGGUUGUAAACCGCUUUCGCCUGUGACGAAGCGUGAGUGACGGUAAUGGGUAAAGAAGCACCGGCUAACUACGUG